GAUGAACGCUGGCGGCGUGCUUAAUACAUGCAAGUCGAACGAGGGUUUCAGCAAUGGGAUCCGAGUGGCGAACGGGUGAGUAACGCGUUGGUGACCUGCCCCGAAGAGAGGGAUAACAGACCGAAAGGUUUGCUAAUACCGCAUAAGCUCUUACUAGUUAGAGAGGUAAGAGGAAAGGCCGAAAGGCGCUUUGGGAGGGGCCUGCGUCCCAUCAGCUAGUUGGCGAGGUAAAAGCUCACCAAGGCGAUGACGGGUAGGGGACCUGAGAGGGUGACCCCCCACAAUGGAACUGAAACACGGUCCAUACACCUACGGGUGGCUG
This 322-nucleotide ribosomal RNA is filed under the name uncultured Chloroflexota bacterium. RNAcentral describes it as "bacterial SSU rRNA". It matches the Rfam family "Bacterial small subunit ribosomal RNA", at positions 28 to 351 of the family's 1533-position model. The record is from RNAcentral. Lineage: Bacteria; Bacillati; Chloroflexota.